Molecule: long non-coding RNA, 1842 nt
Organism: Salvelinus namaycush (lake trout)
Lineage: Eukaryota; Metazoa; Chordata; Actinopteri; Salmoniformes; Salmonidae
Exons: 4
Source: RefSeq, a predicted model, not a curated record
UAUAACGUUACUACCACUAUGUCACAGUGGUGUCUUCAGGACUUGCCUCAAAUUAAUAUUAAUGAUGUACAUCGAAUUGUUAACUCAGCCUCCGAGACUCCAGCUAGCAAGAAUGAAAAGGGGUUCAAGAUGUAUAUAGGAAGCUCCAUAGACAACUAUGAAGAUGGUGUUUCAGCACUCCGUACCAGUGAUAGUGGUCCAAAGCCACUGCUCCUGUGUUGCAGGAAGUGCUCUGUGCAAUCAUCUGGUGGCUCUUCUUUACCAGACAGCACACUACUCUCAACUAAACAUUCCUGCUGCACCACCAGUUCACAGCUGCACAGACACAGAACAGCGUUGGCACAAGCCAAGAACACUUAAGUUCUCUCUACAAAGCACUCAGUGGAUACAUGCCUGACAUGGACCUUCUCCGCGUCUCAGAAACGUAUGCCAACUUUUCUUCACUUACUGCCCCUCUUGUGACAACAAUGUAAUGUUCUAGCAUUGAUUGAUACACUCACAAAAGCUUGGAUUUCUUUCUCUGUCAGCUGACGUGGCCCUGGUUGAGUCCGCCUUUGGGCCAGUGCAAGCCGGCAGUGUUCUGUCCUAUUAGCUUCCACAGAACAAAGACCAGUGAAAUUGUGAAGAUUGCCGAUGCCCCUUCUCCACCAAUACUUCCAUUAGAUGGCAAGGCUUCAGUCUUCCCAGUGUGCUUACAUCCUUAGCCAUCAGGAGCAGUUCCACCUCAAGGCAUUCCUGACAACCUACGAGAUGUCACACAAAGUCGAGGUUGCUACAAGGGAGCAGAGCAGCAGCCCGGAAUGGCAUCAGCUCAGGAAAAUGAGAAUAACAUCCUCUCGUUUCCGAGAGGUUUGCCAUGUCCGGGGAGAGACCUCAGCUGACCACCUAGCUGAGCGGAUGGUCAAGGGAUCUGGUAUGCAGACCAUGGAGAUGAAGAGGGGGCUAGCCAUGGAGCCAGUGGCUGUACAGGAGUACUGAGUUCUUUCCGUGUGGCUUCGUAGUGCACCCAGAUGCUCCGUGGUUAGGAUCCUCUCCAGAUGGCAUCAUAUUUGAUCCCAGUGUGAGACCACACUUUGGACUCUUAGAGCUCAAGUGCCCAAAUGUACCAAGUUAUGUUGACUGCCCUUACCUGAAGAUACAGAAUGGAGAGCUGAAGUUGAAGAGAUCUCAUGCCUACUACUGGCAGGUGCAAGGUCAAAUCCUUCUCACAGGUUGUAGCUGGUGUGACUUUGUCAUCUGUGCACAGGAGGACAUCCUAGUUGAAAGGAUAUAUAAAGAUCUACAGGUUUCAAAAACUAUAAGAGAGAAGGUUGACCACUUUUAUUUUUACCACUACUUGCAGAAGUGUCUCUCGCACCUGAAUGGAUCCCCUGCAUGGGUGCCAAGUUGAGUGGUUUUAUGAAAAACAAGUAUUGAUGUUCUUGUGAAGAAAUCUACAGUAGAAUAGAUUUGUUGAAAAAAUAUAUAUUUCAGCAAAUGUUCAACAGUUCAGUUAAUCAAUUACACAUCUCUACAUUGUAUUCAAUCUUGCAUUCUGGCUAUUCUGUGUUUACUUGAUUUCUUUACCCCACCCCUGUUACUCAGUGCCUAAUUAAAGCCAAUACAAGCUCCACACAAACUGAUAUUCACUACAACACAAAUGAUUGAUACAUGUCGUAGAUAAACAAAUUAUUAUUUUGCUACUAGCAAAUAAACACAUGUACAUUUACACUGGCUUGGCCCAUGCUCUGGACCGGAUCAGAGACGGCACAGUCCAUAGGCAGCGCACCUUGUUCUUCAUCCCCCUCAGUCGGAGCAGGAGGUUUCAGUCUUCUUUCCCAAACACCAGGUCUCUUUUGAAUG